This 320-nucleotide long non-coding RNA is filed under the name Anas platyrhynchos platyrhynchos (common mallard). RNAcentral describes it as "lncRNA (ENSAPLG00000024901.1)". Lineage: Eukaryota; Metazoa; Chordata; Aves; Anseriformes; Anatidae. The record is from RNAcentral.
CUACAUAGUAAAACGCAUUGCUCGAUGAUUCAGAUUGAAUUAGACAAUGAAAAAAAAAAAAAAAAGUGAUUUUUCCCAUUUGUUUUCCUCUUCCAGGAUCAACUUUUAAGCAGAAGUCUGUAUCAGCACAAUUGGGUGGAACAAAUAGCAGGGAUGAGAGAGCAAGAACAAGCAAUAAGGAAAUCUUCACUGUAAAUUUCCUUCAGCAACCACAUAACCUGGGGAACCUCAACAUAAACAGUCUUUGGGUACAUCUGCUGCUUCAGGAUGGCCUCUGUGUUGCACUGAGCAUGUGGUGGUCAAUUUUUUUCUUAACUUGA